AAACUUUCAACAACGGAUCUCUUGGUUCCGGCAUCGAUGAAGAACGCAGCGAAAUGCGAUAAGUAAUGCGAAUUGCAGAAUCCCGUGAGUCAUCGAAUCUUUGAACGCACAUUGCGCCCUCUGGUAUUCCGGAGGGCAUGCCUGUUCGAGCGUCAUUA
RNAcentral lists this ribosomal RNA (158 nucleotides) under Willeya diffractella. Its description in RNAcentral is "5.8S ribosomal RNA". It matches the Rfam family "5.8S ribosomal RNA". Rfam says of the family: 5.8S ribosomal RNA (5.8S rRNA) is a component of the large subunit of the eukaryotic ribosome. It is transcribed by RNA polymerase I as part of the 45S precursor that also contains 18S and 28S rRNA. Functionally, it is thought that 5.8S rRNA may be involved in ribosome translocation. Lineage: Eukaryota; Fungi; Ascomycota; Eurotiomycetes; Verrucariales; Verrucariaceae. The record is from RNAcentral.